UAUCAAGGGCUUUCCUGUUACAGGCUGCUUGCCUGUUGCAGAGGGGUGGGAUGAGAAGAACAGAUGUGGACCCAGAGUGGCUCACUGCUGCUUCCUGUGACUCCAUUUUCCAUGACUCUUCAGCCUUUUCAAGGGCCAUGAGGUUAAGCCGACUGUAGCUUUGACCUUCUUUGUCAGGUUGUCAGAACAAGAACCUUCAUUAUAAAGAAUUGCACUUAUGGGAUAGAGGGCCAAAAAUCCUGGCUUCCCAACCACAGAGAUCACUUGAAUGGCAUCCAUUUCUCAACUGCACUGAAGUCAUAGCCAGUUAUUGAAAUCAAACUUCAUGAAGACCAUGACCUUUCACUCUUGUCAGAGAGAAACAUGUAUUUGGAAUGUGGAUGUGACUCACAGUAGCUGUGCCUGGAGAAAGCAAAAAUUCAUAUGUGCAUUCACUCACUUCACAGACCUACAGCAAGGUGUGUACAGGAGCUCCAAAGUAGCUAUAGAAGUAGCCUGAUUCAGUACAAUUGCAUAUGAAAAACCAGAUUUGGAAGUUUUGGAGGAGGUCAAAAGUAUGGAUGAUGAAUAUGAUGAUGACUUUGAUGUUGGUCAUAUGAACCAAAGUUUCUAUGACAAUGAAAUGGAGGAAAAUCAACCAAUACAGACACAGGGAAUGCAGAUAUCCUUGAUUCAGAUGAUGAAGAGAGCAGCAAUAACACAAAUUGACCAGCAUAGAAAUUGAAUGCAGGAACAAAACAGACAUUCCAAAUGAAAUGUUGCAAUUUCAAAACAGAGAAUCAAUCAUUGGAUUUCAGAAAGACAUAACACUGGCCUUGUAUAUGGCAAAGAAAACAAACUGGUUCUGCUCAUGUCAAUAUUGCACCAUGAUGGAAAUAUUUAUAGGAAAACCUUGACAAAAUGAAAGCCUGAGAUGUGAACUUUCUACAACAAAACCAAAAGUGGAGUAGAUGUUGUUGAUGACUUAUUUGGCAACUAUAAUGUCACUUGAAACACAAAGCAUUGGCCAAUGGUGGUGUUUUACUUGAUCUUAAAUGUGUGUGGCAUAAAUAACUUGAUACUUUAUAAAGAAAAUAACAAGUGCAAAAUACCACAGAGAAAUUUUCUUAGAGGAUUGGGACUGGAAUUCAGAAGAGAUCAUUUACAGCAGAGGAAAAACAAAAUAUUUCUGCCCAAGGAGACUAUGCAAAAAAAUUUGUGGAGCACAUUCGUUAGCUGACAGGUAAAUGGGCAGGUGCAGCAUCACAAAGACCUACUAUGACAAUAUGAAAACCAAAAGGAUAUCAACUGUGCCCUACAAAAACGGACAGGAAAACAAAACAUACAUGCUACCUGUAAGCGAUACUUGUGUAUAGCACACAGAGUUUUCAUGUGUGAAGAUUGCCUUGGGUGUAACAUUUGAAGCAAAGAUUAUUUCUGUGGUAGACUUUUAUUUGUAUUUACAUUGUAUUUCACAUAGGUUUUUAUUUUUAGUGUUAUCUUUUAAGUUUUGUAAGCAAGUAAACAGCUAAUGUGAAAUGUUGAUGUCUAGUCUAAACACUCAUGAUAUAUUUGAUGUUUUAUUUUAUUUUCUUGCUAAGUGCAUGUUGUACAAUAUAGUAAGAAGCUCCUAACAAAAGAGGAAGACAAGAGCAGUGACAAGAAUUGUGGGGGGCCUUGCCCCCCCGCUAGAACUCUUGAGUGCCUUUUAUGGACAUAUCCGGGCCUGCUGCAAAUCUACCCGGCAACAAGGAAGUAGCCCCAGUACCCUCCUCUUGCUCCUCCCCUCUAGC
This is a non-coding RNA of Heterocephalus glaber (naked mole-rat), 1772 nucleotides long. Lineage: Eukaryota; Metazoa; Chordata; Mammalia; Rodentia; Bathyergidae. The record is from RefSeq and is a predicted model, not a curated record.